Magnolia sinica is the source of this 1673-nucleotide RNA transcript. It is a transcript of the gene named protein POLLENLESS 3-LIKE 1-like, with no coding region annotated. The transcript is spliced from 2 exons. The record is from RefSeq and is a predicted model, not a curated record. NCBI's taxonomy places the organism in Eukaryota, Viridiplantae, Streptophyta, Magnoliopsida, Magnoliales, Magnoliaceae.
UCCUGUUUUAUCUAAAUCAUAAGGAACAUUCUUUUUACCUAUUAGAAAGGCAUGCACUAGCAUUUAGGGUCUCACGCAAACUAGUUUGGGAGUCGUAUGGAUGAAAAUGCAUGACAAAACAGUGUGUAUGCAGUUUGAAUUUAUCUUCAAUCAUUUGCUCAAGGCCCGAAUAUUCGUAAGUAAAAUGUGAUGGAUAGCCAUAUUUACAUGAUUUUGCUUUCGAGUGUAAUUGGUGUGUUCAAGCUUCUUAAUGUGUAGACUAUUUAUACGUGCAUCAUCUUCAUCUGAAAUUGUUUCAUUUACGUUUAUUGAGCUGUUGGUUGUUUAUUUGUGUGAUGGGAUUGGAUGAAAUUGAGUAGAGUUGGUUUAAAAGAACAAAUACUAAUCUAGUUUUUUAGCAGUCCAAAGAGGAAUGUGAGUAUCUAAUUGAACUUGCCAAGCCUCACAUGGCGAGGUCGAUAGUCGUUGAUAGCACAACUGGUCGGAGUAAAGACAGAACUGCUUCUGGUGAAGUCAUUCUUUAAUGAAUUUUUGGCUGGUUGGAUGACUUGAUCAAAGCAUUAGAGAAGUUCAGAUGUGUCAUUUAGGGCAGUUCAGAUUCUUUGGGAUCAAAGUCUUUGCAUAUUGUAUCUACACCGUAUCAUUUGAAUGGUAGUCCUUCAAUUAUAAAAAAGAAAAGGCAAUAGAAAGUUAUUCUACAUUCUUAAAGAUAGCUGCUGAUCUAUGAAUUACUUUUUGGGUUUGAUAUUCGUAAGAACCUCAAUGUGUUCCGAGUGUGAUUCAAUUGGAGUUCUUCCUACAAAAUAGCUUACAACAGAGCAUCUUACUGAAGUGAACCAAGUAUAACACCAAUGCUGGUCAUUUUUUAGUUGUAUAUCUAGUGUUGUUGUAUUCCUCUUCUCAACUAUUAUGUUGAGGCCACAAUUUGAAUGGUUGGGUUGUUCUAUUGAGGAGGUUCCUGGGUCACAGUUCAUCCACGUUGGGGCCCAACAUACCAAUGGUCAGGAUUAUUGAACAAUGGAUGAGGAUCAAGUAAUUCCUAGUAAUAUAAAUAUGUUCACAUGCUGUCCCAAAAUGCAAACUGUUAUAAAAUAGUGUUUCUGUUACCAUUGUUAUGUAGUAGGGAAAAAUUGCUAAUAUUUGUUUUGUGGGUUCAGGUUGGUCUAUUGAAGAGUAAGUUUGGGUUUGAUGAUGCUUUCAACUACAAGGAAGAACAUGACUUGGCUGUAGCUUUAAAAAGACAGGAAGAAUUUCAGAAGCAAAAUCUCUCCUUGAAAGGAUCCAACCUUCAUCUUCGGACUCAGACAAGCAUGGCCCGGAUUCGUAUAUGAAAUCCUUUAAACAUGCAUGUGAAAUGCUAGCAGGUCUUAAGUGUCAAUUGAUGAAUGGAGCGAUAGGAACAAAAAUCCAGAGAUCUUCUGCUUCCUCUAUUACGGGAAUCUUGAAUUCCCCAGGUUCUGGUGAGGCAAAGAAGAACUGUGGAUUGCAAGUCCAGAAGGAGCUGACGGAAGCAGAAAUGCAUGAUAGGGCUGUGGAUAUAUGCAAAUGGGUGACGUCCAGUCAUUCAGUUGGGCCCCACAAGGGCGAAAAAUCAAUGGUAGGAUCGAGUCAUCUGAAUGCAGAGUCAAAUUUCAGUUGGGAAUGAAUGGUCUGUUUAAGCGUGUUUUUUUUUU